Unclassified non-coding RNA from Myotis lucifugus (little brown bat), 108 nucleotides. Its record names the gene 7SK. It matches the Rfam family "7SK RNA". From Rfam's summary of the family: 7SK was discovered as an abundant small nuclear RNA in the mid-70s but a possible function has only recently been suggested. Two independent studies have found that 7SK RNA binds the CDK9/cyclin T complex (known as elongation factor P-TEFb). P-TEFb activates transcription by phosphorylating the C-terminal domain of RNA polymerase II. Lineage: Eukaryota; Metazoa; Chordata; Mammalia; Chiroptera; Vespertilionidae. The record is from Ensembl.
GGAUGUGAGGAUGGUCUGGCUGUGGCAUCUGUCAUCUCGGUGAUUGCCAGGAUUGAUUUGGCCGGUACAACUGGAGAGGCAGCUGUCCCCUUCCUCCCGCACUCCUUC